RNAcentral lists this ribosomal RNA (104 nucleotides) under Gardnerella vaginalis. RNAcentral's name for it is "partial 16S rRNA". It matches the Rfam family "Bacterial small subunit ribosomal RNA", at positions 1378 to 1479 of the family's 1533-position model. The record is from RNAcentral. Lineage: Bacteria; Bacillati; Actinomycetota; Actinomycetes; Bifidobacteriales; Bifidobacteriaceae.
GCCUUGUACACUCCGCCCGUCAAGUCAUGAAAGUGGGCAGCACCCGAAACCGGUGGCCUAACCCUUUUGGGAUGGAGCCGUCUAAGGUGAGGCUCGUGAUUGGG